This 2260-nucleotide ribosomal RNA is filed under the name Salmonella enterica subsp. enterica serovar Heidelberg. Its description in RNAcentral is "partial 23S ribosomal RNA". It matches the Rfam family "Bacterial large subunit ribosomal RNA", at positions 690 to 2925 of the family's 2925-position model. The record is from RNAcentral. Lineage: Bacteria; Pseudomonadati; Pseudomonadota; Gammaproteobacteria; Enterobacterales; Enterobacteriaceae.
GGGCGUUAAGUUGCAGGGUAUAGACCCGAAACCCGGUGAUCUAGCCAUGGGCAGGUUGAAGGUUGGGUAACACUAACUGGAGGACCGAACCGACUAAUGUUGAAAAAUUAGCGGAUGACCUGUGGCUGGGGGUGAAAGGCCAAUCAAACCGGGAGAUAGCUGGUUCUCCCCGAAAGCUAUUUAGGUAGCGCCUCGUGAAUUCAUCUCCGGGGGUAGAGCACUGUUUCGGCUAGGGGGCCAUCCCGGCUUACCAACCCGAUGCAAACUGCGAAUACCGGAGAAUGUUAUCACGGGAGACACACGGCGGGUGCUAACGUCCGUCGUGAAGAGGGAAACAACCCAGACCGCCAGCUAAGGUCCCAAAGUCAUGGUUAAGUGGGAAACGAUGUGGGAAGGCCCAGACAGCCAGGAUGUUGGCUUAGAAGCAGCCAUCAUUUAAAGAAAGCGUAAUAGCUCACUGGUCGAGUCGGCCUGCGCGGAAGAUGUAACGGGGCUAAACCAUGCACCGAAGCUGCGGCAGCGACGCUUAUGCGUUGUUGGGUAGGGGAGCGUUCUGUAAGCCUGCGAAGGUGGCCUGUGAGGGUUGCUGGAGGUAUCAGAAGUGCGAAUGCUGACAUAAGUAACGAUAAAGCGGGUGAAAAGCCCGCUCGCCGGAAGACCAAGGGUUCCUGUCCAACGUUAAUCGGGGCAGGGUGAGUCGACCCCUAAGGCGAGGCCGAAAGGCGUAGUCGAUGGGAAACGGGUUAAUAUUCCCGUACUUGGUGUUACUGCGAAGGGGGGACGGAGAAGGCUAUGUUGGCCGGGCGACGGUUGUCCCGGUUUAAGCGUGUAGGUGUGUGUUCCAGGUAAAUCCGGUUCACUUUAACACUGAGGCGUGACGACGAGGCACUACGGUGCUGAAGCAACAAAUGCCCUGCUUCCAGGAAAAGCCUCUAAGCAUCAGGUAACAUCAAAUCGUACCCCAAACCGACACAGGUGGUCAGGUAGAGAAUACCAAGGCGCUUGAGAGAACUCGGGUGAAGGAACUAGGCAAAAUGGUGCCGUAACUUCGGGAGAAGGCACGCUGACACGUAGGUGAAGUGAUUUACUCAUGGAGCUGAAGUCAGUCGAAGAUACCAGCUGGCUGCAACUGUUUAUUAAAAACACAGCACUGUGCAAACACGAAAGUGGACGUAUACGGUGUGACGCCUGCCCGGUGCCGGAAGGUUAAUUGAUGGGGUCAGCGCAAGCGAAGCUCCUGAUCGAAGCCCCGGUAAACGGCGGCCGUAACUAUAACGGUCCUAAGGUAGCGAAAUUCCUUGUCGGGUAAGUUCCGACCUGCACGAAUGGCGUAAUGAUGGCCAGGCUGUCUCCACCCGAGACUCAGUGAAAUUGAACUCGCUGUGAAGAUGCAGUGUACCCGCGGCAAGACGGAAAGACCCCGUGAACCUUUACUAUAGCUUGACACUGAACAUUGAGCCUUGAUGUGUAGGAUAGGUGGGAGGCUUUGAAGUGUGGACGCCAGUCUGCAUGGAGCCGACCUUGAAAUACCACCCUUUAAUGUUUGAUGUUCUAACGUGGACCCGUUACCCGGGUUGCGGACAGUGUCUGGUGGGUAGUUUGACUGGGGCGGUCUCCUCCUAAAGAGUAACGGAGGAGCACGAAGGUUGGCUAAUCCUGGUCGGACAUCAGGAGGUUAGUGCAAUGGCAUAAGCCAGCUUGACUGCGAGCGUGACGGCGCGAGCAGGUGCGAAAGCAGGUCAUAGUGAUCCGGUGGUUCUGAAUGGAAGGGCCAUCGCUCAACGGAUAAAAGGUACUCCGGGGAUAACAGGCUGAUACCGCCCAAGAGUUCAUAUCGACGGCGGUGUUUGGCACCUCGAUGUCGGCUCAUCACAUCCUGGGGCUGAAGUAGGUCCCAAGGGUAUGGCUGUUCGCCAUUUAAAGUGGUACGCGAGCUGGGUUUAGAACGUCGUGAGACAGUUCGGUCCCUAUCUGCCGUGGGCGCUGGAGAACUGAGGGGGGCUGCUCCUAGUACGAGAGGACCGGAGUGGACGCAUCACUGGUGUUCGGGUUGUCAUGCCAAUGGCACUGCCCGGUAGCUAAAUGCGGAAGAGAUAAGUGCUGAAAGCAUCUAAGCACGAAACUUGCCCCGAGAUGAGUUCUCCCUGAGACUUAGAGUCUCCUGAAGGAACGUUGAAGACGACGACGUUGAUAGGCCGGGUGUGUAAGCGCAGCGAUGCGUUGAGCUAACCGGUACUAAUGAACCGUGAGGCUUAACCUU